ACGGGUGAGUAACACGUGGGCAAUCUGCCCUUCACUCUGGGACAAGCCCUGGAAACGGGGUCUAAUACCGGAUAACACCUGCCCGGGCAUCUGGGUGGGUUAAAAGCUCCGGCGGUGAAGGAUGAGCCCGCGGCCUAUCAGCUUGUUGGUGAGGUAGUGGCUCACCAAGGCGACGACGGGUAGCCGGCCUGAGAGGGCGACCGGCCACACUGGGACUGAGACACGGCCCAGACUCCUACGGGAGGCAGCAGUGGGGAAUAUUGCACAAUGGGCGAAAGCCUGAUGCAGCGACGCCGCGUGAGGGAUGACGGCCUUCGGGUUGUAAACCUCUUUCAGCAGGGAAGAAGCGAGAGUGACGGUACCUGCAGAAGAAGCGCCGGCUAACUACGUGCCAGCAGCCGCGGUAAUACGUAGGGCGCAAGCGUUGUCCGGAAUUAUUGGGCGUAAGAGCUCGUAGGCGGCUUGUCACGUCGGGUGUGAAAGCCCGGGGCUUAACCCCGGGUCUGCAUUCGAUACGGGCUAGCUAGAGUGUGGUAGGGGAGAUCGGAAUUCCUGGUGUAGCGGUGAAAUGCGCAGA
RNAcentral lists this ribosomal RNA (577 nucleotides) under uncultured Streptomyces sp. RNAcentral describes it as "bacterial SSU rRNA". It matches the Rfam family "Bacterial small subunit ribosomal RNA", at positions 102 to 694 of the family's 1533-position model. The record is from RNAcentral. Lineage: Bacteria; Bacillati; Actinomycetota; Actinomycetes; Kitasatosporales; Streptomycetaceae.